AAAGUUUUUAUUUUACAUUAGCUAAGUGAAUGCCAAAUGAUGAACAAAAUCAUAACUUUUUUCACUAACACCACUAAUAAGUGCUAAUUAAUAUCACAAAAUACUCUAUAAGUAUAUCGAAACUACACUGACUGAACACAGAAGAUCAGCAAAGACUGUUUAUAAAUCAUUGAAACGCAUUGUUCAACAAUCAAAAUAUCAUAUAUUGCAAUGAUCCAUGCAAAUAUAAAAGCAGCUCAUCUGACUACAAUAAGUUUAAACUAUUGAAAAUAACAUAUUUGAAAAUUGGUUUACAAAACCAGAAGAUAAAUUCCGAUAUUGGUAGCAGAAUCAACACAAAAACUAAAACAUUUCAAACUUGGAGAGAUUGUUAAAAGAAAGACGUCAGUCAAACAUUUGUGGCUCACCCAUCUUGAACCAAUCAACGUAAGGAAUCUUGACCCCAUCCAUCUUCUCCUUUGCGAGCACAAGUUCAGUCUUUAGUUUCUUCUUCUCCUUCCUCCUUGCGUCUUUCUUGAAGAGUUCCUUGAGUAACUCUAAUUUACCUCGCACGCGAUAGACUUCACGCUCUUCAUAAUGCUUGGCUGUGAUGGCUUCCAAUUGGUUAUGGUACAUCAAGAGCAUGUCUCGGUAGUGCUCCCUACUCGCAUUCUUUACAUUGUUGAAAGCCUCUUCGAGAGAAUAACCGUAAUCUUCAACGAUCGGUUUUUGGAGCUUUAGAUCUCUGUUGAAUGCCAUCGGGAGAUCUUGUCUUGCAUGUGUACAAAAAAAAUAUUGAUUA
This 781-nucleotide long non-coding RNA is filed under the name Brassica napus (rape). Its description in RNAcentral is "long non-coding RNA (BNAP_LNC000897)". Lineage: Eukaryota; Viridiplantae; Streptophyta; Magnoliopsida; Brassicales; Brassicaceae. The record is from RNAcentral.